CAGGUGGCCUUCCAUGAGACUCCAGCAGGGCAAGAGAGAGAUGGAGGUAGCUGGCUGGCUUUGGACUGCCUUGUCCUUGGAACGGCCCACAGAAUUUUCCCCACAGUCCAUAGGCUGGAACUAGUCACAUGGCCCCACAACCACAAGGGAGGCUGAGAUAUGGAGGGGAGCAUGUGCAUAUUUGGUACAUAUCGAGCAUGUGUAAGCCCUGUGUGCCAAGGGUGAUGCCAAAGAGCUAGAAGUUGUGACCUAGUUGAGCAAACUGUCUGCUUGGAUCCUAUGGAUGCGUCCCUCAGCGUGGGUCAAGCAAGGAAGAAUCCAGUGGCAAAGAUUCACCUGGGGAGACAAUGGAAAAAGGGAUCUCAGGGCUAACUUGGGCCAGAAUGAGGCAGAGCUACCACCUGGAGCAGGGGACAGGAACCGUCAGGACACAAGGUGCCCCAGUUUUACAGCCACAUUUUUAUGGAUGUGCAAACCAAAGCUUAGGGAACACAAGGCAAGAAAGUGGCAGACCCAGGAUUUGAAGCUAAGACUGUUUAACACCAAAGUCUUCACUCUUAAUAUCACAGCAGGAAUAAGGUGAGGUUAUUUUAUUCAAGCAACCUAAUUCAGAUUAGGUCAGAACACUAUGAAUUCAUUUUGUUCCCUUGCUCCAUCCUACUGAGAUCAAUUUAAUUCACUUAGUAUUUAUGGAGUGCCAUGAACUCAAUUCACUAUGUUAAAUGGGAGGGCAAGAAGGGACAGGCUGGGCUUCAAGGAAAUGCUUGUAGUAAGCUGGGUGUAGAGGACCUCGGGAGGAGGAGAAGCUCAGUGCCUCCCAGAGGAGCAGCCUGGCCAAAGGUCCGAGGCAUUGAGUCAUUAGGAAUGACUUUUGGGGCUGGCAAGGUCCUACUGUCCCCAGUGCCUGCUGAGAUGGGUAAAACAUCGAGGCUGGCUGCUUCAUGGAAAGCACUUGGCUUUGGAGUCCCCCUCUGCUACUUUCUAGCUAAGUAACAGUGGGCAAGAUACUUCCACUCUCCCAAUUUGCAGGGUUGUGGUGAAGAUUUUACAAGAAAAUACAAGUAUAGCACCGGGCUCAGCGCCUGGCAUAAGGUGUUGACGGAUAUAUGUGACCUUCCGUUACCACUGAGCCACUGGGCAAGCAUCCUGUCUGCUCGUCCAGAUAGAACAACCUGGGAGGGCGCAGAGAAGCAUUUCACAGUGGGGGGUCCAGAAAGUCAGUGGCCGAGAAUAUCAGAAACAGUGACAA
Non-coding RNA from Callorhinus ursinus (northern fur seal), 1249 nucleotides. The record is from RefSeq and is a predicted model, not a curated record. NCBI's taxonomy places the organism in Eukaryota, Metazoa, Chordata, Mammalia, Carnivora, Otariidae.